Cyprinodon tularosa is the source of this 568-nucleotide long non-coding RNA. RefSeq lists it as uncharacterized. NCBI's taxonomy places the organism in Eukaryota, Metazoa, Chordata, Actinopteri, Cyprinodontiformes, Cyprinodontidae. The transcript has 3 exons. The record is from RefSeq and is a predicted model, not a curated record.
ACCACCUCCCUCUGUCAGCGUUCCCGCAGAUUCCCCUGCUGUCGGCUCUCGUCACAUUCCCCAAUCUGUUAGCCUUCUGAUACCGGGGCCAGACUUGAAAGAAAGUCUUAAGGACGAGAGCUUAUACACUGUGCCAGAUUUUGUUAAAUAACUACGAGAUGUUGGUGCCAAUUUAUUGGUAAUUGUCCCUUCUGGCGCAGACUGUUGAAAGUCCUGGAGAAGCCUAAGCUCAAGAUCACUGCAAGUGUUAAUCUUCUUAUACUUAAGUUUCAGGUUCACAGGAUCCACUUGUGAGGCAUAGUGUGUGUUUAUACACAUAGUUGCAGCGUUGGCCACACAGAUCCAUGUGCUGGGGAAUCUGCCCUAGGGAGUCAGGUGGACAAGCACAGGAAAGGUGCACUCUCUUGAGGCCCACACUAUUUGGCAGGCCAGGCCUCCCUCAGGUGCUCAGACUGUUUUCCUGGAUACUGCUGGUUACCGAACCAGGACUGUUUCACUGACUUCGGCUUUGAUUCUCCUUAUGUACACUGUUGCUCCCUCGGCGUCGGCUGGCAUCAGCUCAACAUCA